CAUGUAUGUUUAGGCCUGAUGUUGGAGUUCUGAAAAGAGAUCUAAGUCGGCUCUCCGACAUUCAAAAUUGCUCGGCUCACUAUAUUGUUCCACUUUGGUCGAUGGUAGUUCGAUCUCGAGUAGGAUCAUUGCUUCUGUCCCAUAAGCUAAAUUGAAGGAGGAUUCUCCAGUUGAUAUGAAGGGAGUUGCUCGAUAUGCCCAUA
RNAcentral lists this long non-coding RNA (203 nucleotides) under Elaeis guineensis (African oil palm). Its description in RNAcentral is "long non-coding RNA (EGUI_LNC070569)". Lineage: Eukaryota; Viridiplantae; Streptophyta; Magnoliopsida; Arecales; Arecaceae. The record is from RNAcentral.